AUUGAACGCUGGCGGCAGGCUUAACACAUGCAAGUCGAGCGGGGUGAUGGUGCUUGCACUAUCACUUAGCGGCGGACGGGUGAGUAAUGCUUAGGAAUCUGCCUAUUAGUGGGGGACAACAUCUCGAAAGGGAUGCUAAUACCGCACACGUCCUACGGGAGAAAGCAGGGGAUCACUUGUGACCUUGCGCUAAGAGAUGAGCCUAGGUCGGAUUAGCUAGUUGGUGGGGUAAAGGCCUGCCAAGGCGACGAUCUGUAGCGGGUCUGAGAGGAUGAUCCGCCACACUGGGACUGAGACACGGCCCAGACCCCUACGGGAGGCAGCAGUGGGGAAUAUUGGACAAUAGGGGGAACCCUGAUCCAGCCAUGCCGCGUGUGUGAAGAAGGCCUUAUGGUUGUAAAGCACUUUAAGCGAGGAGGAGGCUCUUUUGGUUAAUACCCAAGAUGAGUGGACGUUACUCGCAGAAUAAGCACCGGCUAACUCUGUGCCAGCCGCCGCAGUAA
RNAcentral lists this ribosomal RNA (503 nucleotides) under uncultured bacterium. Its description in RNAcentral is "partial 16S ribosomal RNA". It matches the Rfam family "Bacterial small subunit ribosomal RNA", at positions 30 to 523 of the family's 1533-position model. The record is from RNAcentral.